Molecule: long non-coding RNA, 1514 nt
Organism: Antechinus flavipes (yellow-footed antechinus)
Lineage: Eukaryota; Metazoa; Chordata; Mammalia; Dasyuromorphia; Dasyuridae
Exons: 3
Source: RefSeq, a predicted model, not a curated record
AAAGCCCCUCCUUACAAACUAGAUCGAGCCCCUCUGUUCUUGUAUGGAUGUAUCUGUAUCAAUCAGCCAGUAUUAGGUGCUUGGGAUGCCAAAGGCACAAAGACAAGGCUCGGAGUCCAAUCCGUCCUCCGUAAGGGAGCUUACGGGGUUUUCAGGGGGAAUGAUGCUCACAACUGAAUGAAUAGGUGGAUGGAUGAAUGGAUGGAAGAAUGAGUGGAUGGAUGGAUGGGUGGAUGAAUAGGUGGAUGGAUGGAAGGAUGGAUGAAUAGGUGGAUGGAUGGAUGGGUGGAUGAAUAGGUGGAUGGAUGGAAGGAUGGAUGGAUGAAUAGGUGGAUGGAUGGAUGGAUGAAUAGGUGGAUGGAUGGAUGGAUGAAUAGGUGGAUGGAUGGAAGGAUGGAUGGAUGAAUAGGUGGAUGGAUAGAUGGAUGAAUAGGUGGAAGAAUGGAUGGAUGGAUGGAUAGAUGGGUGGAUGGAUGGGUGGAUGAAUAGGUGGAUGGAAGGAUGGGUGCAUGAAUAGGUGGAUGGAUGGAUGGGUGCAUGAAUAGGUGGAUGGAUAGAAGGAUGGAUGGAUGAAUAGGUGGAAGAAUGGGUGGAUGGAGGACUAAAUAGCCAAACAGAGUAAGCACUGGGGAUACGAAAAGAAAAGCUAGGACAGCCUCGGUCUGCAAAGGCUUUACACUCUAAUGGGAGAUACGGCCAUGGGUGGCCAAGGGGAGGUUUUUUGGUUUUGAAAGCUACCAGGAUGAGAAGUAAAGGCGUGGGGGUGACCCUUUCUUUCUCUCAGAUUGACUCACUUGUAAUUCCAGAAGAGUCACACUUAAAGGAAUAUAUCAUGACUUUAUAUUGAAGGCGAUGUGGCCAUCUCCACUUUGAGUGACAUUUUAAAGCAUGGUCGCUCCCCUACUUCCUGGGGAGGCUCCCUGUUACCUCUGGGAUCAAUCUCCUGGGUUUCGUAUUUGAAGCCGGUAACAAGCGGGCCUCCAUCUCCCUUUCCCUUCUCAUACACAUGACUCCCCUCGGGUACUCCCUGGUCGGCGCCGUUCUCCUCCCCCCACGCCAGAUAUCCCAUUUCCUCUCUUGGUGCCUUUGCCUAGGCGGUCCCCUCUGCCUGGAAUGCAUUACCUCCGUUUCCUAGAAUCCCUAACUUCCUCCAGACCCAACUCCGGCUCCCGACGGCCCUGAGCCGCCUGAGUCCUCCCUCCCGUGCCCCUGUCCCGGCCCUGCAGGGCGUUCUGCGAGCCCCCACCCCGAGGGCAGGGGCUGCUGCGUUUGGGGGUUUCCUCCGCGCCCCGCUUGGCACGGCAGGCCCCUAACAGCGCGCGCUACAAGGGCUCGAUUUCCAAGCCUGGGCCGGCUUUCUGCCUGAUUCAGCAGGGCCUGUUUGGAGACUGCCAGACAGCGGUAACUAUAAUAAAUGAGACACCGCGAUGCGCGCGGGAACAGGAAGCGAAACUCGGCUCCUACCCGAACAGCUGGGACACCAACGCCGGGCUCCUUUCGUACAAGGUCUUGUG